Molecule: long non-coding RNA, 113 nt
Organism: Salvelinus fontinalis (brook trout)
Lineage: Eukaryota; Metazoa; Chordata; Actinopteri; Salmoniformes; Salmonidae
Exons: 3
Source: RefSeq, a predicted model, not a curated record
AAGGUGUUAACAAUAUGGAGAGGUGUUAACAAUAUGGAGAGGUGUUAACAAUAUGGAGAGGUGUUAACAAUAUGGAGAGGUGUUAACAAUAUGGAGAGGUGUUAACAAUAUGG